CGGAUAACACUCUGUCCCGCAUGGGACGGGGUUAAAAGCUCCGGCGGUGAAGGAUGAGCCCGCGGCCUAUCAGCUUGUUGGUGGGGUGAUGGCCUACCAAGGCGACGACGGGUAGCCGGCCUGAGAGGGCGACCGGCCACACUGGGACUGAGACACGGCCCAGACUCCUACGGGAGGCAGCAGUGGGGAAUAUUGCACAAUGGGCGAAAGCCUGAUGCAGCGACGCCGCGUGAGGGAUGACGGCCUUCGGGUUGUAAACCUCUUUCAGCAGGGAAGAAGCGAAAGUGACGGUACCUGCAGAAGAAGCGCCGGCUAACUACGUGCCAGCAGCCGCGGUAAUACGUAGGGCGCAAGCGUUGUCCGGAAUUAUUGGGCGUAAAGAGCUCGUAGGCGGCUUGUCACGUCGGAUGUGAAAGCCCGGGGCUUAACCCCGGGUCUGCAUUCGAUACGGGCUAGCUAGAGUGUGGUAGGGGAGAUCGGAAUUCCUGGUGUAGCGGUGAAAUGCGCAGAUAUCAGGAGGAACACCGGUGGCGAAGGCGGAUCUCUGGGCCAUUACUGACGCUGAGGAGCGAAAGCGUGGGGAGCGAACAGGAUUAGAUACCCUGGUAGUCCACGCCGUAAACGUUGGGAACUAGGUGUUGGCGACAUUCCACGUCGUCGGUGCCGCAGCUAACGCAUUAAGUUCCCCGCCUGGGGAGUACGGCCGCAAGGCUAAACUCAAAGGAAUUGACGGGGGCCCG
Molecule: ribosomal RNA, 740 nt
Filed under: Streptomyces flavovirens
Lineage: Bacteria; Bacillati; Actinomycetota; Actinomycetes; Kitasatosporales; Streptomycetaceae
Description: bacterial SSU rRNA
Rfam family: Bacterial small subunit ribosomal RNA
Source: RNAcentral